AAUAGAUACCCGGGUAGUCCACGCCGUAAACGAUGAGUGCUAAGUGUUAGGGGGUUUCCGCCCCUUAGUGCUGCAGCUAACGCAUUAAGCACUCCGCCUGGGGAGUACGGCCGCAAGGCUGAAACUCGAAAGGAAGUUGACGGGGGCCCGCACAAGCGGUGGAGCAUGUGGUUUAAUUCGAAGCAACGCGAAGAACCUUACCAGGUCUUGACAUCUCCUGACCGCCCUGGAGACAGGGUCUUCCCUUCGGGGACAGGAUGACAGGUGGUGCAUGGUUGUCGUCAGCUCGUGUCGUGAGAUGUUGGGUUAAGUCCCGCAACGAGCGCAACCCUUGUCCUUAGUUGCCAGCAUUCAGUUGGGCACUCUAAGGAGACUGCCGGCUAAAAGUCGGAGGAAGGUGGGGAUGACGUCAAAUCAUCAUGCCCCUUAUGACCUGGGCUACACACGUGCUACAAUGGGCGGUACAGAGGGUCGCGAACCCGCGAGGGGGGAGCCGAAUCCCAAAAAACCGGCUCUCAGUUCGGAUUGCAGGCUGCAACUCG
RNAcentral lists this ribosomal RNA (542 nucleotides) under uncultured bacterium. Its description in RNAcentral is "bacterial SSU rRNA". It matches the Rfam family "Bacterial small subunit ribosomal RNA", at positions 777 to 1314 of the family's 1533-position model. The record is from RNAcentral.